This 434-nucleotide ribosomal RNA is filed under the name uncultured archaeon. RNAcentral describes it as "bacterial SSU rRNA". It matches the Rfam family "Archaeal small subunit ribosomal RNA", at positions 19 to 458 of the family's 1478-position model. The record is from RNAcentral.
GGACCUGACUGCUAUCGGAUUGAUACUAAGCCAUGCGAGUCAUUGUAGCAAUACAAGGCAGACGGCUCAGUAACGCGUAGUCAACCUAACCUAUGGACGGGAAUAACCUCGGGAAACUGAGAAUAAUGCCCGAUAGAACACUAUACCUGGAAUGGUUUGUGUUCCAAAUGAUUUAUCGCCGUAGGAUGGGACUGCGGCCUAUCAGUUUGUUGGUGAGGUAAUGGCCCACCAAGACUAUUACAGGUACGGGCUCUGAGAGGAGUAGCCCGGAGAUGGGUACUGAGACACGGACCCAGGCCCUAUGGGGCGCAGCAGGCGAGAAAACUUUGCAAUGUGCGAAAGCACGACAAGGUUAAUCCGAGUGGUUUCUGCUAAAGGAACCUUUUGCCGGUCCUAGAAACACCGAUGAAUAAGGGGUGGGCAAGUUCUGGUGU